AGUUGCUGCUUCUAUUGUUUGUACCGGUGUUUGUGUAAUAUUUUUAAAGAAUAUUACCCCAUCUCUACUACGCAAACAACUACCAUUAUUAUGUAAUAUAAAACUUAAACCUAACACAAAAUCUACAUUUAUAUUUAAAUCUCUUACCCAAAUUUUAUCUACCAUAUAACUAGGUUUAUAAAAAUCUAAACAUGUAUUUACAAAACUAAUCUGUGAUUUAUCUAUAUAAUGUUUAUAUAUAUUAUGGGUUCCAUCCAUUUGCAU
This 264-nucleotide long non-coding RNA is filed under the name Nicotiana benthamiana. RNAcentral's name for it is "long non-coding RNA (NBEN_LNC007762)". Lineage: Eukaryota; Viridiplantae; Streptophyta; Magnoliopsida; Solanales; Solanaceae. The record is from RNAcentral.